This 243-nucleotide ribosomal RNA is filed under the name uncultured Actinomycetales bacterium. RNAcentral's name for it is "partial 16S ribosomal RNA". It matches the Rfam family "Bacterial small subunit ribosomal RNA", at positions 88 to 334 of the family's 1533-position model. Lineage: Bacteria; Bacillati; Actinomycetota; Actinomycetes; Actinomycetales. The record is from RNAcentral.
UACUCGAGUGGCGAACGGGUGAGUAACACGUGGGUGAUCUGCCCUGCACUUCGGGAUAAGCUUGGGAAACUGGGUCUAAUACCGGAUAGGAGCCAUCUUUAGUGUGGUGGUUGGAAAGUUUUUUCGGUGUAGGAUGAGCUCGCGGCCUAUCAGCUUGUUGGUGGGGUAAUGGCCUACCAAGGCGGCGGCGGGUAGCCGGCCUGAGAGGGUGUACGGCCACAUUGGGACUGAGAUACGGCCCAG